UGGAAAUAGAAUUUCGUAAAAUCCUAUUUGAGAUGAUUUCUGCAUGACAAAUAAAAGAUUACUACCAAAUUUAAAGUCUAUAGAGGUUACAGUUUGGAAAUAGAAAUUUCACAUUUUAACACCCACUACCGCAAUCUUUUUCGGCGGUGGGUUGUUGUAAAAUCCGCUCUUAAAUCAUUUCUGCAUCACAUAUAGACGACUCUAGCUAAAUUUGGAGUCUGUAGGAGCUACGCCUUAAAAAAUAAAAAUUUUCAUUGUUAAACCACCCCCGCAACCUACUGUGGGGUGAGCUACCGUAAAAUUCGUUCAUAGACUAUUUCUACAUCUCUUACAGAAGAUUCCUACCAAAUUUGGAAUUUAUAGGAGCUAUAGUUUAAAAACGGGAAUUGUUUAUUGUUAACGCCCCCGCAAUCCCCUUGGGGGGAUGAAUUUCUUAAAAUCCGUUUUUAGUUGACCUUUACAUAACGAAAGUAAUAUUCCUACCAAGUUUCACAUUUCUAAGACCUAUAGUUCCCGAGAUUUCGUGAUGAGUAACUAUAAAAAUUGGAAUUCUUAGCUGAAUGUAAAAGAACAUUAUCCGUUUAGUAAACUCCGUUGCCAUGGAAACAAAAGAAUCAAGCGAAAACGCUUGCAAUUAACGGGAUAAAUGUUCAUAAAAGUAAAACAGCAAUAAAAAAAUGAAGAAACGUUAGAAUUCGAAAAUAAAUAAUAAACCAUAUACCAUCUAGGAAAAAUUUCGCAUCGAAUAGUGGUAGUUUCAUGUCGAUACGAUCAGUGGUUUAGGCGUGAAAGAGCCUCAAACGAAGACCAUUUUCAUUAUAUAUAUAUAGAUUACACCCUUCACAAGUUCACAAACAAAAUGGCGGAGCUGUCAAAUUUAGUUCCAGGAUUCCCGUCGGCAAUGAGUGGCGGCGCGGACUAUACAAUAUACAUCCAAGUCAGGUGAGCAGCAGUUGCAGCUGGCAAAUGUAGCUCUAGGUAUGCCAGGUACUGGCGAAGUUGGAGAAGGUUCUGCUGCCACUGCAUUGCUUGGGGAGGAUGAAGCUGGUGCUGCAAGCUUAGCGCGCCGGUUGUCUACUCGGCUUCACAUACCAGUUUAUAUCUGUAUGGGACAAACCUUUGACCGCUUUACAAGUCCACUUGUUGAAAAGGGUAUUGCAAUGGAAAUAAA
This is a long non-coding RNA of Pieris rapae (cabbage white), 1171 nucleotides long. RefSeq lists it as uncharacterized. NCBI's taxonomy places the organism in Eukaryota, Metazoa, Arthropoda, Insecta, Lepidoptera, Pieridae. The record is from RefSeq and is a predicted model, not a curated record. The transcript has 2 exons.